This 85-nucleotide transfer RNA is filed under the name Felis catus (domestic cat). It matches the Rfam family "tRNA". From Rfam's summary of the family: Transfer RNA (tRNA) molecules are approximately 80 nucleotides in length. Their secondary structure includes four short double-helical elements and three loops (D, anti-codon, and T loops). Further hydrogen bonds mediate the characteristic L-shaped molecular structure. tRNAs have two regions of fundamental functional importance: the anti-codon, which is responsible for specific mRNA codon recognition, and the 3' end, to which the tRNAs corresponding amino acid is attached (by aminoacyl-tRNA synthetases). tRNAs cope with the degeneracy of the genetic code in two manners: having more than one tRNA (with a specific anti-codon) for a particular amino acid; and 'wobble' base-pairing, i.e. permitting non-standard base-pairing at the 3rd anti-codon position. The record is from Rfam by way of RNAcentral. Lineage: Eukaryota; Metazoa; Chordata; Mammalia; Carnivora; Felidae.
CCCUGGGUGGCUCAGUUGGUUAAGUGUCUGACUUCGGCUCAGGUCAUGAUCUUACGGUUUGUGGGUUCAAGCCCCACAUCAGGCU